RNAcentral lists this small nuclear RNA (103 nucleotides) under Cervus elaphus hippelaphus. The record is from RNAcentral. Lineage: Eukaryota; Metazoa; Chordata; Mammalia; Artiodactyla; Cervidae.
GUGCUUGCUCAGCAGCACAGACACCAGAACUGGGGCACAGAGUACAGUCACGGGGGCCCUGCACAGGGGUGAUGCUCAAACUCCUGAAGCUCUCUGUACUCUU